AAUGUUUUAAAAAAAUCAAUGGCCGCAGUACCUUGACUGUGCUAAGGUAGCAUAAUCAAUUGGCUUUUAAUUAAGGUCUAGAAUGAAUGGGAUAAUGAAGUUAAUCUGUCUUAGUUGCUUUUAUUAAAAUUUAUUUAAAAGGUGAAAAUACCUUUUUUAAAAAUAAAGACGAGAAGACCCUUAGAAUUUUUAUAUUUUUUUGUUGGGGCGACAGUUUAAAAUAUAAUCUUAAAUUUAUUGUAUAUAUAACGAUUUUUUUAAUAGAAAUUAAAUUACCUUAGGGAUAACAGCAUAAUUAAUUAUUUAGUUUGUGACCUCGAUGUUGGACUAGGAACUAUAUGGCUAACCGUCUAAUUAGAUUUGUUCUGUUCGAACA
RNAcentral lists this ribosomal RNA (376 nucleotides) under Planorbis planorbis. Its description in RNAcentral is "partial 16S ribosomal RNA". The record is from RNAcentral. Lineage: Eukaryota; Metazoa; Mollusca; Gastropoda; Planorbidae.